CCUACGCCACUGCAUCUCUCGUGCCAAGUCCCAACAGGCUUUAUUCCACACAUUACGCACUCUUUUUUCCUUUCUUGGCCUCCGCCAACGUUUUGCCUUUGAACGUCACUUAUCUUGCCGUUUUCGUCCCUCCCGUCAUUUUCCACUGGCGAUCGCUGUACGCCCCAACUUCUGCUUCUCCACAUCGAUACUGGUGGGCCGCGCUAUCCGGUAUGCGGCGGAGAAGAGGCGAAUGCCAUAUUUGAGUCAGCGUGUGCACGCGCACUAAACAUCCGUCGCUGCAAGGUAUGAAAUGGGCCAGGCGGUAAUGGAGGAUCAAGGAAACUCGCUGGUGGUGUGGGGGAGCACUGGGAGGCGGCUACAGUUCUCCAUGCAGGAUUUGAAGCUGCCCGCGAGCCUUCGCGACAAUCCGCACUUUCACUUUUACGAGAAGCAGUGGGACGCCGUGGCGAGUUUCUGGUUUAACCGUGUUUUGAAGGAGUCGGCCCUUCAGCACCUUUCGGUGGAGGCCAUCAUAGAGUUGAUUCGUGAAGACAUCUCCAAGCGCUGGGAGCGGCGUCGACAAGAGCAGAGCAUCUACAAGAAGCGCAAGAGACUGUUGCAGCGUAGUGGCCCAGCAGGAACCCCCUCGGCAUCUGUGUUGCUAACAAACGUGACGACACUAGAGGGCUAUCACGCAGCUACAGAGAUGGAGCAGAAGGAUUUGGUAACAGCCUUGGUGGAGCGAGUCGAGGACGUCGCAAAAGACAAGGUAGAAUCCUGGCGGGUGCUCAUCGACGACGCAUCAGAACAACGACCCGCCAAGGCUGCGCGUGUAGAAGGUACCACGGCAACGUCGGGGGAACACUCUGAAGACGACGCUGACGCUGCCGGCGACUUUGACGACCGCGUUGCCGUCGUCUUGAAACUAUCCAGUAAGGAAAAGGCCGCUACUACGAUCGCCCACCUCCACGGUAGCAGGUUCGACGACCGCCGAGUAUUGUGCCGGUUCUGGAGCGAAUCGUGAUUUCUACGACUUUCUCAGCCUGCCCCUUUUGCGUGCGUGAAGAUGUGCAGGGAAGAGUAUGGCCCCCAUAACCCAAGUGCUUGGCUGCGGGAAAAUAUGAGUUUGGCGCGCAGGGGGGCUGCCUGGUGCAGUCAGGAGAUCAUUAACGAAAAGACCGCCUUCUCUCCCGCGUUGUCCAUCUCGCCCUUCCAGCUACCGCUUCUUCUUCCUUCCAUACUUCCUCCUUGUUGUUAGUCUGAAAGACGGUAGCGGACAACAG
This 1265-nucleotide unclassified non-coding RNA is filed under the name Leishmania donovani. RNAcentral's name for it is "gene:LdHU3.17.0080(CDS-product:hypothetical_prote in_conserved)". Lineage: Eukaryota; Euglenozoa; Kinetoplastea; Trypanosomatida; Trypanosomatidae. The record is from RNAcentral.